UACGUAGGUCCCGAGCGUUGUCCGGAUUUAUUGGGCGUAAAGCGAGCGCAGGCGGUUAGAUUAGUCUGAAGUUAAAGGCUGUGGCUUAACCAUAGUACGCUUUGGAAACUGUUUGACUUGAGUGCAAGAGGGGAGAGUGGAAUUCCAUGUGUAGCGGUGAAAUGCGUAGAUAUAUGGAGGAACACCGGUGGCGAAAGCGGCUCUCUGGACUGUAACUGACGUGGAGGCUCGAAAGUGUGGGUAGCAAACAGG
This 252-nucleotide ribosomal RNA is filed under the name uncultured bacterium. RNAcentral describes it as "partial 16S ribosomal RNA". It matches the Rfam family "Bacterial small subunit ribosomal RNA", at positions 524 to 776 of the family's 1533-position model. The record is from RNAcentral.